This 492-nucleotide ribosomal RNA is filed under the name Triticum aestivum (bread wheat). RNAcentral describes it as "partial small subunit ribosomal RNA". The record is from RNAcentral. Lineage: Eukaryota; Viridiplantae; Streptophyta; Magnoliopsida; Poales; Poaceae.
AUGCCGCCUUGGGAAGGCACUGCUUCCUCUUGCCCUUUCCGUUGCCGACGACGGAAAUGGUCUGGGUGGAGGUCGGCCGACGGGCCCCGACCUGGAGUGAUUGGGGGCGCCGCUCAGAAGUGGCUGGCGGCUGCGGUCAAUUGGGUGCUCGGCGGCGCCGCUCUGGAGCGGUGGAGGGCGACUGCAGCUCGGCUCGGCGUGGAGGGCGACUGCAGCACGGCUCGGCGUGGAGGGCGACGGCGGUACUGCUCGGGAUGGAGGGAGGUCGGCGGCGGUGUGAUGGCUGGGGGCGGCGGCGGCAGUGGUCUGGUGGCGGGCGGGGGCGGCGGCGGCGGCGAUCUGGUGGAGCGCACGAAGGAUUUGGGCGUCGAUUUGGGGGCGGCGCUGCUAUUUGGCUUUUUCUGGGGGCGCUGUUAUCUGGUAGAGGGCUGGCGCGUACGCGUUUGUUUUGGGCCAAAAUUUGGUCAGUCGCGCGCUUUCCCACCGCGCUAA